GAUGAACGCUGGCGGCGUGCCUAAUACAUGCAAGUCGAGCGAACAGAUGAGGAGCUUGCUCCUCUGACGUUAGCGGCGGACGGGUGAGUAACACGUGGAUAACCUACCUAUAAGACUGGGAUAACUUCGGGAAACCGGAGCUAAUACCGGAUAAUAUAUUGAACCGCAUGGUUCAAUAGUGAAAGACGGUUUUGCUGUCACUUAUAGAUGGAUCCGCGGCGCAUUAGCUAGUUGGUAAGGUAACGGCCUCCCAAGGCGGCGAUGGGUAGCCGACCUGAGAGGGUGACCAGACGGAUUGGGACUGAGAGACGGCGCAGAGUCCGACGGGAGGCAACAGUGGGGAAUGUUGCACAAUGGGCGCAAGCCUGAUGCAGCAACGCCGCGUGCGGGAUGACGGACUGCGGGUUGUAAACCGAUUUCAGCAGGGACGAAGCUUUUUGUGACGGUACCUGCAGAAGAAGCACCGGCUAACUACGUG
This 478-nucleotide ribosomal RNA is filed under the name uncultured bacterium. RNAcentral describes it as "partial 16S ribosomal RNA". It matches the Rfam family "Bacterial small subunit ribosomal RNA", at positions 28 to 507 of the family's 1533-position model. The record is from RNAcentral.